This is a non-coding RNA of Phrynosoma platyrhinos (Desert horned lizard), 72 nucleotides long. NCBI's taxonomy places the organism in Eukaryota, Metazoa, Chordata, Lepidosauria, Squamata, Phrynosomatidae. The record is from the annotation of a GenBank genome assembly.
ACCAGUGUGGCAUACUGGUUUGAGCGCUGGAUUAUGACUCUGGAGACCAGGUUUCGAUUCCCUGCUCGGCCA